This 76-nucleotide transfer RNA is filed under the name Salmonella enterica subsp. enterica serovar Typhimurium. RNAcentral's name for it is "tRNA-Ala". It matches the Rfam family "tRNA". Rfam says of the family: Transfer RNA (tRNA) molecules are approximately 80 nucleotides in length. Their secondary structure includes four short double-helical elements and three loops (D, anti-codon, and T loops). Lineage: Bacteria; Pseudomonadati; Pseudomonadota; Gammaproteobacteria; Enterobacterales; Enterobacteriaceae. RNAcentral also lists the same sequence under 1 other name. The record is from RNAcentral.
GGGGCUAUAGCUCAGCUGGGAGAGCGCCUGCUUUGCACGCAAGAGGUCAGCGGUUCGAUCCCGCUUAGCUCCACCA